This is a long non-coding RNA of Pteropus alecto (black flying fox), 396 nucleotides long. RefSeq lists it as uncharacterized. The transcript has 3 exons. Lineage: Eukaryota; Metazoa; Chordata; Mammalia; Chiroptera; Pteropodidae. The record is from RefSeq and is a predicted model, not a curated record.
AGAGAAAGUUCUUUGCUUGGAGUAUUAGAGAAAUCUCCAACUUAACUCAAAGAACAUAGUUAAUAAUUACCAGAAUUGAAUGUUAAAGGAAUCCUCAAUUGACUGAGUGCAGAGAUUGACUUGUGGGUAUAGACUCCUCAGGCCCAGCUUAAUUUUUUUGAUUUUCUUUGCUUUCAAGGAAAAAGAAGUCACCUCUGGACCCUCAACCUGGUUUCGUCUUUGCCCCAUAUCCCCAUGAACUUCCUUGUCCCCAGUUGACAGCCUCUAAGCCCCUGGCCUGUAGCUUUUCCCAGGCUUACCAUCCCAUCCCCUUCAGCUGGAACAAGCAGCCAAAGGAGGAAAAGUUCUCAAUGGUGAUCCUUGCCCGGGGAUCUCCAGAGGAGGCUCCUCUGCCCC